UAUGAUAUAGUGAUUGUUCAACUAUAUGUAUUGGUAUGCUAUAUUUACAUCCGGUAACAAUUUGUGCUUAUUACCAUGCUAAAAACAUGCAUAGAUACUGCUCAGGAUUUCAGAGUGCAGCGUGGUGUUUCCCGUUGAUAGUAAGUUGACUGCCAGUUUAAAAUCUCAAACUGUUUCCUGGGACAAAUUGUUAAAAUAUGGUUUUCACUACAAGUAAAGAUGACUGGAGUUAUUCUUUUUAAUUAUCCAAUUCCCUACCAUUGAAGGUAUUAGACAUAUCUUGUAUGUAUCACCUACUUUAUGAGAAUAUAGGGGUAUCGGUUGAGAAGUAUCAAAAUGUCUUUUUGUUAUUUGAUCAUGUACAUAUCUGUUCUGUUGUAACAGUCACAAAUGCUGCUUCACCUGAUGCUACAGGUUUAUGUCUUUAUUUAUUUUUCACCAGGCACGGGGAAGGGAAUCAAUGGUUUGUUGGAUUUUAUCAUGUGGGUUAUGAAGAUCCAUUGCUUAUGGUUAUGCGAAGGAAAACUGUUCAUGGUUAAAGUUUGCUAAUAUUAUUACGCAACAGUCUGUUCCUUGCACCUGUUUUGCAAGCUGGAUUGUACGAGAGAAUAUAUAGAGAUGAGAAGAUUGUCCAUUCACUUAUUUCUUCUAUGGAAAGGAGCAUCAAUGGUUUUUGCAUGUGCUUCCCAUUGCCUGGGCACUUGGUGAGAGGACUCUUUGAUGUUAUUCUUUCAAAUAAGCUUUGAUAUGACUAAGGUGCAAUCAAUUGAAGUUGUUUUGAAGAACCUGCACCUGAGGAUAUUCUGUUUUUCAUAGCUUGCAGCAGUGUGUAGAAUAAAGUUUGUACAUUUUGUGAAUCGUUUCUUUCAGUUUUCCAGCCCGUGAUGUUGGGCAGGGAGAGAUGGGGAUGGCAGCGCUGGGAAAAGAGAGAUGGCGGCGAAGGCGGCGGU
This 950-nucleotide long non-coding RNA is filed under the name Triticum aestivum (bread wheat). Its description in RNAcentral is "long non-coding RNA (TAES_LNC009454)". Lineage: Eukaryota; Viridiplantae; Streptophyta; Magnoliopsida; Poales; Poaceae. The record is from RNAcentral.